Long non-coding RNA from Pantherophis guttatus, 332 nucleotides. RefSeq lists it as uncharacterized. The record is from RefSeq and is a predicted model, not a curated record. NCBI's taxonomy places the organism in Eukaryota, Metazoa, Chordata, Lepidosauria, Squamata, Colubridae.
CCCAACAUCAUCAAAAUGUGCUUGCGCAGAAGAGCGUGUGUGUGUGAGAGAGAAGUGAGCGCACAGCCCCGCUGCGAACCAGUAGUAAAGCUAAUAUUUACAAAAGAGAGGAGAGAGCCCAGUACAGAUCUCUUUUAUCUCAUCUAAUUAGGAAACUACUUCAGGGAAUCACUCCAAAAUCAUUAUUAGACUGUAAGCAAGUGCCAACAAGCACAAUUUCAUUCUGCAUGUCCCUUUAUAUACAGGCUUCCAACACAGAAGUAGCCCCAGCUGUGGCUGAGCUCUUAGAAGACAGAGUGGAUGUUUCUGAUUAAAGGUUCUUUUUCUCUGUA